Molecule: ribosomal RNA, 380 nt
Filed under: uncultured eukaryote
Lineage: Eukaryota
Description: partial 18S ribosomal RNA
Rfam family: Eukaryotic small subunit ribosomal RNA
Source: RNAcentral
CAAUAGCGUAUAUUAAAGUUGUUGCAGUUAGAACGCUCGUAGUCGGAUUUCGGGGCGUUCCGACCGGUCUGCCGAUGGGUAUGCACUGGCCGGAGUGUCCUUUUUGCCGGAGACCGUGCCUACUCUUAACUGAGCGGGGGCGGGAGACGGCACUUUUACUUUGAAAAAAUCAGAGUGUUUCAAGCAGGCAGCUCGCUCUUGCAUGGAUUAGCAUGGGAUAAUGAAAUAGGACUUUGGUGCUAUUUUGUUGGUUUCGAACACCGAAGUAAUGAUGAGAAGGGACAGUCAGGGGCACUCGUAUUCCGCAGAGAGAGGUGAAAUUCUCAGACCCGCGGAAGACGAACCACCGCGAAAGCAUUUGCCAGGGAUGUUUUCACUGA